Long non-coding RNA from Manis pentadactyla (Chinese pangolin), 346 nucleotides. RefSeq lists it as uncharacterized. The record is from RefSeq and is a predicted model, not a curated record. NCBI's taxonomy places the organism in Eukaryota, Metazoa, Chordata, Mammalia, Pholidota, Manidae. The transcript is spliced from 2 exons.
GUUCACCAUGUAAGAACUUAUUCACUAUGUAAGAAUUUGUUCUCCAUGUAAGAACUUGUUUGUUAUGCCUCAGAAGAUUGGUGACUGACGAAAAUUAGGCUUGGGGUGGAUUAAUGAUUGUGCAUUGAGCAUUAACUCCCCUAUACAGAAUUUUAUUGUUGUUAACAACCAUUUGAUCAAUAAAUAUGAGAGAUGCCCUCACACACACACAAAAAAAACCUUGCCAGGUGGAGACUAUCUUUUGCUCCUAAAUAUACAAGCACACUCACUGUUUUUUAUGAAGUUCAAAAAGAAAAAUCAGGUUACCUUCAACUCAGACUCUGAACAGUUUAGACAAGCUGAAAAC